AUAAUUUACUCUCAAUCUAUUUUUCCUUAAUUAUUUCUUUAUUAUGUUCUUAGGCGUUAUUAUUCUAAAAUUAAUCUUUUUUUAAAGUAUCUAUAUAAAUAUAGAAUCGAGAGUAUGUACGGUGGGCUCCCCGCGUUUUGCGGGGGACUCGCGAGAGAGAGAGAGAGAGGGAGAGAGAGAGAACAGAGGGAGGAGGGAGAGAGAGCAUACAGAGAGAGGGGGAGAGAGAGAGAGAACAGAGGGAGAGAGAGAGAGAGCAGAGUAGAAGGGAGAGAGAGAGAGAGAGCCAGGAAGAGAGGAAGAGAGAAAGGAAAAGAAAGAGAGAGAGGGGGGAGGG
RNAcentral lists this long non-coding RNA (337 nucleotides) under Ananas comosus (pineapple). RNAcentral's name for it is "long non-coding RNA (ACOM_LNC023208)". The record is from RNAcentral. Lineage: Eukaryota; Viridiplantae; Streptophyta; Magnoliopsida; Poales; Bromeliaceae.